CCUGGGUUUAGAUGCAAGCAGAAACCCUCGCCACCGACGCGUCGGUGAGCAGAGAGCUCACGCCACGCCGCGGCCAUAGGGAGGCGGAAACCGGAGUGGUGGUGGAGGUGAGAGACGGUGGCGGCGGGUGAGAGGGAGGAGAUGAGGGCGUGGACAGCAGGAGAGAUUCGCCGCCGGCGAGGCGGAAGGAAUGGUAGCGGCCCGAGCUGGAGGGUCUUGUGUAACAAUUCCUAGUAAUUAGGGGUGCUUUGUGUAAAAAUAAGGGGGUUUACGGUAAAUUGAGACGUCCGUCAGAUGAUACCCGGUAUCAUACAGUAACCUGCAACACC
This 329-nucleotide long non-coding RNA is filed under the name Oryza brachyantha (malo sina). RNAcentral's name for it is "long non-coding RNA (OBRA_LNC002369)". The record is from RNAcentral. Lineage: Eukaryota; Viridiplantae; Streptophyta; Magnoliopsida; Poales; Poaceae.